RNAcentral lists this ribosomal RNA (599 nucleotides) under uncultured bacterium. Its description in RNAcentral is "bacterial SSU rRNA". It matches the Rfam family "Bacterial small subunit ribosomal RNA", at positions 31 to 650 of the family's 1533-position model. The record is from RNAcentral.
AGUCGUGGCGGAGGCUAACACGAUGCAGGUCGUAGACUGCGCGCAAUGUGUAGGUGGCGAUGACAGGUGAGUAACAGCGUGGGAGACAUGCCGCGUUCGGUUCGGAGAUGAACUCAAGUGAAACUUGAGGCGUGAAUACCGAAUACUGUCCAGCGAGGGAGAAAGAUGCAUCGCCGGAGGAUUGGCCGCGGCGUUGCUUGAUUAGCUUAGUUGGUUGAGGUAACGGGCUCACCAAGGCGACGAUCAGUAGCUGGUCUGAGAGGAUGAUCAGCCACGAUUUGGGACUGAGACACGGCCAAACUCCUACGGGAGGCAGCAGUGGGGAAUAUUUGGACAAUGGGCGCAAGCCUGAUCCAGCCAUGCCGCGUGAGUGAUGAAGGCCCUAGGGUUGUAAAGCUCUUUUACCUGGGAAGAUAAUGACGGUACCAGGAGAAUAAGCCCCGGCUAACUUCGUGCCAGCAGCCGCGGUAAUACGAACGGGGGCUAGCGUUGUUCGGAAUCACUGGGCGUAAAGAGCACGUAGGCGGAUCUUUAAGUCAGGGGUGAAAUCCCGAGGCUCAACCUCGGAACUGCCUUUGAUACUGGGGAUCUCCGAGUCC